UACGAAGGGGGGCGAGCGUUGUUCGGAUUUACUGGGCGUAAAGGGCGCGUAGGCGCCUUGUCAGUCAGGCGUGAAAGCCCCGGGCUCAACCUGGGAAACGGCGCUUGGGACGGCGAGGCUGGAGUUCGGGAGAGGAGAGUGGAAUUCCCAGUGUAGAGGUGAAAUUCGUAGAUAUUGGGAAGAACACCGGUGGCGAAGGCGGGUCUCUGGGCCGAUACUGACGCUGAGGAGCGAAAGCGUGGGGAGCGAACAGG
Molecule: ribosomal RNA, 254 nt
Filed under: uncultured bacterium
Lineage: Bacteria
Description: partial 16S ribosomal RNA
Rfam family: Bacterial small subunit ribosomal RNA
Source: RNAcentral